Molecule: long non-coding RNA, 2127 nt
Organism: Aegilops tauschii subsp. strangulata
Lineage: Eukaryota; Viridiplantae; Streptophyta; Magnoliopsida; Poales; Poaceae
Source: RefSeq, a predicted model, not a curated record
UCUCUUCUUUCCUUUCCCCCUCCUAGAUUUUCUGCCGCCGCCGCAGUCGCCACCGGCCGCCUUCGGCGCAGCCGCCAACCAGCGUGACCUCCCCUGCCUCCCGCCCUCGCCUGCCACGAAGAAGACCGGCUCAUGAUGUGCCGCUCGGUGGUGCCUCCCUCACACGGCCACCGCCCCUGUAUCCUCCCACUUUUCUCGUUGCCGCCUCACUUGGUGCUCGACUGGAGGAGUUCGAUCCGUCGCGCCACUGCUGCGCCUCUCCCUCCUCGGUGCUCAACAGGAGUGUGCGCGCGUGUGCACCGUCUCGGGAGAAGGAGGAGGUCGUCGGGGCUGGCUUCCCUUUUGUUCUGGCCGUGGAGCUCCGCAAGUCGGUGAGUCCCCAAUCCAGUCCUGAGUCCUGACUCCCCCCCUCCCCCUCUCUCUCUAUGUCUCUCUCUUCCUCUCCCCAUCAAAGAGAAUCUGCCGACCUCGAGGUGUAGGCGGCCAUGGCAAAGAUUACACAAGAUGUUUGAUGAAAGGCCAGCAGCUCCUUUUUUCAACUGUUUUUAUGAGGCCCAGUUGCUAAAUUGCAAUGAUAAAUUAUAAAUGCGUAAAGACCCACUGGUUUCGUCGCAAGUGGAGCUCUCUACAUAUUUACUUUUAUGAGGCACUUAUUGUUCUUUCAGGUUGUUGUCUAAUUGGUGUGAUUUCAAUUAGCAAUUUCCUAUGCUUUUGACUAUGGAAAAUGGCAGCAAGGUAACCCAGGUAAGAUUUGCUCUUCAACUUAUUGUUCGUUCAUAUUCAGUUCAGGAAUCAGAGUCAUCCCUCCACUGGUUGUUGAGUGCCUAAUGGCAUCCAAUGUUUAUCAUCCACAUGGACCAUAGCAUGAUAUAUCUGAAUUUUGCAUGUGUUUCUUGGAACAGACAAACAUUGCGCCCAGCUACUCUUACUGUGGCGCGGCAGCGUAAACUCCUCUCCCUUUAUCCACAGUCCUGUUUACCAAUUUUCUCAGGCGGAUGCGCUCCUAUGUGUCCAUGUUGUUACUUGCUACUGCCUAUAUGUCUAUUUUUACAGGUUCUUGCGCUACUUUGUAGAGAAAAAUCUGAGAUUUUGGGUCAUUCGGGGAUGGAUUAACAUGUUUAGGGUUCAGACACUAGCUUCAAGAAUGUGGUUACAGUAUUUCACUUCCCUUGGUCCCUACAAAUUGCAAGAUAGAUCAGAGUAUUUCUGUUUUGGAGCUGGUGCUCUGUUCGUGAAGCUCAGUGUCUUAAGAAGAUCAGUCACGUCCGAAGGGUAACUGUUUAUCCAUGAAGCACUUGGGCAUGAGAUCAACGACACUUGAGAGAUGGCCAUGUGGUAACAUGCAGACCUCUUGAAUAGUUCAUAGAAAAAAAGGAGGAGGCUUUAUAUAAGAGAAAGUGGCAAGAAAAUGUCGAAAAGCAUCUGUGUACACCGUACAGAACCUGAGUUAGAAACAAGGGACAAGAGGAGAGCCUUAUUCGUUUUUUGUUGAUCGAGAUGUUGAAAAUGCACAACACAUCGAAAUGGAUACCUCAGGAGGAAUCAAAGAGGGAACCAUAAAUGAUCUCAAUGCAGCAAAAGUUUCAGCAAUGAAAGCUGCUGAAAUAGACACCGAGGAGGGUCCGUCGGUAGUCAAGAAACAGGAGCUCGACGCCGACCUGGAGAAACUCUACGUAGCAGACUGAGACUCUCGGCCUACAAGGAACUCUGUCUGCGACUGUCGCGGCGCUGGCGAUAUCAAGUGCCUCGGAUGUACAUGCUUCACUGGCUUGUUUAUCCCUGCAUGCCGGCGCAUCCGCACCAACUAUAAUCUUGUUGAAACUUAAGUUAACUAGGGAAUGGGUAGCUUGUUAGACUGAAUCAACGAAACUACAGGUGCCUUAAUGCUUAUGUGUCUGUUCCGAGGAGAGGCAGAAUAGCAAGGUAGGAAACAAACAGAGUAGCGAGCUAUAUUUACCAAGUCAAGAACUAAUGUUAUUUGCCGUGCCGGUUUAUCAGACUGUAGAAUUUUGUAUAGGUUCAGGAGGUGCUCUUGCAAUACAACAUUGUGAGAACGAUUGUAAGUUCAUGUUCAUGUGGAGAUAUUUUCUUGGUCAUUAUCAUAGUUUUUGGGCCCUGGCAUGAUCA